This 253-nucleotide ribosomal RNA is filed under the name uncultured bacterium. RNAcentral's name for it is "partial 16S ribosomal RNA". It matches the Rfam family "Bacterial small subunit ribosomal RNA", at positions 524 to 776 of the family's 1533-position model. The record is from RNAcentral.
UACAGAGGGUGCGAGCGUUGUCCGGAAUCACUGGGCGUAAAGGGCGCGUAGGUGGCGACCCAAGUCGAUGGUGAAAGCUCGCCGCUCAACGGCGAGUCGGCCACCGAUACUGGGUUGCUGGAGCGCUGUAGAGGCUCAUGGAAUUCCGGGUGUAGCGGUGGAAUGCGUAGAGAUCCGGAAGAACACCGGUGGCGAAGGCGGUGAGCUGGGCAGUUGCUGACACUGAGGCGCGACAGCGUGGGGAGCAAACAGG